This 790-nucleotide ribosomal RNA is filed under the name uncultured bacterium. RNAcentral's name for it is "bacterial SSU rRNA". It matches the Rfam family "Bacterial small subunit ribosomal RNA", at positions 8 to 796 of the family's 1533-position model. The record is from RNAcentral.
AGAGUUUGAUCAUGGCUCAGGACGAACGCUGGCGGCGUGCUUAACACAUGCAAGUCGAACGGAAAGGCCCUUUUCGGAGGGUGCUCGAGUGGCGAACGGGUGAGUAACACGUGGGUGAUCUGCCCUGCACUUCGGGAUAAGCUUGGGAAACUGGGUCUAAUACCGGAUAGGACCAUGGGAUGCAUGUCUUGUGGUGGAAAACGUUUUAGUGGUGUGGGAUGGGCCCGCGGCCUAUCAGCUUGUUGGUGGGGUGAUGGCCUACCAAGGCGACGACGGGUAGCCGGCCUGAGAGGGUGUCCGGCCACACUGGGACUGAGAUACGGCCCAGACUCCUACGGGAGGCAGCAGUGGGGAAUAUUGCACAAUGGGCGCAAGCCUGAUGCAGCGACGCCGCGUGGGGGAUGACGGCCUUCGGGUUGUAAACCUCUUUCACCAUCGACGAAGGCCCACCUUUUGGGUGGGUUGACGGUAGGUGGAGAAGAAGCACCGGCCAACUACGUGCCAGCAGCCGCGGUAAUACGUAGGGUGCGAGCGUUGUCCGGAAUUACUGGGCGUAAAGAGCUCGUAGGUGGUUUGUCGCGUUGUUCGUGAAAUUCCCUGGCUUAACUGGGGGCGUGCGGGCGAUACGGGCAGACUGGAGUACUGCAGGGGAGACUGGAAUUCCUGGUGUAGCGGUGGAAUGCGCAGAUAUCAGGAGGAACACCGGUGGCGAAGGCGGGUCUCUGGGCAGUAACUGACGCUGAGGAGCGAAAGCGUGGGGAGCGAACAGGAUUAGAUACCCCAGUAGUCC